Molecule: ribosomal RNA, 468 nt
Filed under: uncultured bacterium
Lineage: Bacteria
Description: partial 16S ribosomal RNA
Rfam family: Bacterial small subunit ribosomal RNA
Source: RNAcentral
GACGAACGCUGGCGGCGUGCUUAACACAUGCCAGUCGAACGGAAAGGCCCUGCUUUUGUGGGGUGCUCGAGUGGCGAACGGGUGAGUAACACGUGAGUAACCUGCCCUUGACUUUGGGAUAACUUCAGGAAACUGGGGCUAAUACCGGAUAGGAGCUCCUGCUGCAUGGUGGUGGUUGGAAAGUUUCGGCGGUUGUGGAUGGACUCGCGGCUUAUCAGCUUGUUGGUGGGGUAGUGGCUUACCAAGGCUUUGACGGGUAGCCGGCCUGAGAGGGUGACCGGCGACAUGGGGACUGAGAGACGGCCCAGACGCGUACGGGAGGCAGCAGUGGGGAAUAUUGCACAACGGGCGGAAGCCUGAUGCAGAAACGCCGCGUGCGUGAUGACGUGCUUCGGGUUGUAAACAGCUUUCGCCUGUGACGAAGCGUGAGUGACGGUAAUGGGUAAAGAAGCACCGGCUAACUACGUG